RNAcentral lists this transfer RNA (68 nucleotides) under Marmota monax (woodchuck). RNAcentral describes it as "tRNA.Ala". Lineage: Eukaryota; Metazoa; Chordata; Mammalia; Rodentia; Sciuridae. The record is from RNAcentral.
GGUUUGUGGCUCAGUGGUAGAGUAUUCACCUUGCACUUGCGAGACCCUGGGUUCGAUCCUCAGCACCA